Molecule: ribosomal RNA, 895 nt
Filed under: uncultured bacterium
Lineage: Bacteria
Description: bacterial SSU rRNA
Rfam family: Bacterial small subunit ribosomal RNA
Source: RNAcentral
AAUCAACGCUGGCGGCGUGCCUAACACAUGCAAGUCGAACGGGAAGGGGGCUUCGGCCCCCGGAGAGUGGCGUACGGGUGAGUAACACGUGGGUAAUCUGCCUUUGGGUGGGGAAUAACGUUCCGAAAGGGACGCUAAUACCGCAUAACGCAGCGGCACCGCAUGGUGACAGUUGUUAAAGGGGGGGACCUCGCAAGAGACCUCUCGCCUGAAGAGGAGCCCGCGCCCGAUUAGCUAGUUGGUGAGGUAACGGCUCACCAAGGCUACGAUCGGUAGCCGGCCUGAGAGGGCGGUCGGCCACACUGGCACUGAGACACGGGCCAGACUCCUACGGGAGGCAGCAGUGGGGAAUUUUGGGCAAUGGGCGAAAGCCUGACCCAGCAACGCCGCGUGAAGGACGAAAUCCCUCCGGGAUGUAAACUUCGAAAGUCAGGAAAGAAAUCCGUAAGGGGAAUAUCCUUACGGGAUGACGGUACCUGACGUAAGCCCCGGCUAACUACGUGCCAGCAGCCGCGGUAAUACGUAGGGGGCAAGCGUUGUUCGGAAUUACUGGGCGUAAAGGGCGCGUAGGCGGCACAGCAAGUCGGGAGUGAAAGCCCGGGGCUCAACCCCGGAACUGCUUUCGAAACUGCUGAGCUAGAGUACAGAAGGGGCAACUGGAAUUCCCAGUGUAGCGGUGAAAUGCGUAGAUAUUGGGAAGAACACCUGAGGCGAAGGCGGGUUGCUGGGCUGAUACUGACGCUGAGGCGCGAAAGCCAGGGGAGCAAACGGGAUUAGAUACCCCGGUAGUCCUGGCCCUAAACGAUGGAUACUUGGUGUAUGGGGUUCUCAAAGUCCCCGUGUGCCGGAGCUAACGCGGUAAGUAUCCCGCCUGGGGAGUACGGUCGCAAGGCUG